Molecule: transfer RNA, 67 nt
Filed under: Odontocolon albotibiale
Lineage: Eukaryota; Metazoa; Arthropoda; Insecta; Hymenoptera; Ichneumonidae
Description: tRNA-Cys
Source: RNAcentral
GAAUUUUUAUUUUAAUGAAAAAUUUUAAAUUGCAAAUUUAAAGAUAUAAUUUAUAUUAUAAAAUUUU